Molecule: transfer RNA, 72 nt
Filed under: Camelus bactrianus (Bactrian camel)
Lineage: Eukaryota; Metazoa; Chordata; Mammalia; Artiodactyla; Camelidae
Also listed under: 2 other names
Rfam family: tRNA
About the family: Transfer RNA (tRNA) molecules are approximately 80 nucleotides in length. Their secondary structure includes four short double-helical elements and three loops (D, anti-codon, and T loops).
Source: Rfam by way of RNAcentral
GUAGGAGUAGCUCUGUGGUAGAGCACGUGCUCAGCCUGCAUGAGGUCCCGGGUUCAAUUCCCAGUCUCUGUA